GCCCAAUCAAAAACCUUCUAGAUGCUCAUCCUAACAACAAUCAAUCACUCUCCAUUUCUAAACAGUUUCAUUAUCAGAAAAAGCCUCUAUCUUCGCCAAAACUACACAGAAUACAACUUUCCUCCCAAAAGACUUCCAAAACAGUUUGCCCUUCCUUAAUUUGGUUCCCUCGUCUUCUUCGCAGCAAAAUGACUUCUUGCAAAGGAUGAAACACUCCCCACCAGGUAAAACUCCUCACUCCUUUUCAAAGAUUCUAUUGCAAAAGUAUGGGCUAGUCCAUUAGUCGAUCUAGGAACAUGUUUGAAAGUGAUUGCUUGAAAACAUCCUUUUAGCUGACGAAAAUUCUGAAUGUAAGCCCCUAUAUGUGAUUUAUCUUGAUAUUGGGAUUGAAAUUUUUGAAUAAUGGUUAAUUCAUCUCCUCGACUUCUACCUCCUACCACCCGUUCUCUAACCCCAAUCGCAUCGCUCGAUGACUAGCGAUGGCUUCAGCUGCGAAAGCUGAGGGAAGCCCCUCGUGGUUCUCCGACUUUGAAACCAGUACUUCCCUCUCAGCAUCUCUCGCAACAAUACAUGAGGCCGACCUAUUCCUCUGUCUGUCAUAAGUUCCAUCGAAAUUAAUUUUGAUGAUAGUUCCCAUGGGUUGCUUCCAUUCUACCGCCUCUUUUGCCUUGAUUUCUCAGAUACAAACUUUCUUUCAUGGACUCUGGUAUUUCUAUCACGCCAAAUUACCCAAAGUGCACAACAAAGAAGACACAGCUCGAGUAAACCACUGAUCAAAUGCUAGAUCCAAAUUAUUGAGAAUAUGAAAGAGUAUAAACUCUGACCAAACCUCCACUGAAACAACACAUAUUCGAAAGAGGUGAUCAAUAUUUUUUUCUGCCCUUCCACAACGAGGACAACAAGCUGUAUUAACCAAUUUUUUGUAUUUCAUAUUAGCCAAAGUAGGUAGAUAGUUCCAAGAGCACCUCCAAAUUGUAAUUUUAAUUUUCCCAAGGAGGUUAAGGCCCUAUAGCUUUUUUUAGAAAUCACUAGUUUCGACUUGUAAAGCAUAAGCAUUAGGUUCCAUAGGAUUCCUCUAUAAUACUUUAUAAGCGCUACGGACAGGGAACUCCCCCGAGGCUUCCCCACCCCACGCAAGCAUAUCCUCUUGGGCCUCAAUCGCCAAUAGGAUACAAAAAAUUCUUUGGGCGUCCACCGACGAGAUGGCUUGUGCCAAGCUUGUGUUGGAUUGAUUCAUGUCUAUGUUUAGGAUUAUGCAUUGAAAUGAUUAUCGGAAGAUCGAUUGCUUUGGAAGUUCGUCGGAGACCUAUCACACUAUCCAAUGACUAUAUCGAUAGAUUUUGAUGUUUUGAGUCAUGGUUAUAAUGACAUGAAUAGGUGAAUUAUGUUUAAUGAAAUGGUCAUUAUAUUUGGCUUGUAAAUGUGGUAUUAUGAUUGAUGAACUUUUGGCAUUUUAAUGCGUUGAUGGUUGUGUUGAGAUGGUCAAGUGAAUUUAUGUUUUGAAUGACCAAUUUGGUAUGUUAAGUUGUGGUUUGACAGA
This is a long non-coding RNA of Gossypium raimondii (Peruvian cotton), 1540 nucleotides long. RefSeq lists it as uncharacterized. The transcript has 4 exons. Lineage: Eukaryota; Viridiplantae; Streptophyta; Magnoliopsida; Malvales; Malvaceae. The record is from RefSeq and is a predicted model, not a curated record.